RNA transcript from Triticum aestivum (bread wheat), 4226 nucleotides. It is a transcript of the gene named leucine-rich repeat receptor-like tyrosine-protein kinase PXC3, with no coding region annotated. NCBI's taxonomy places the organism in Eukaryota, Viridiplantae, Streptophyta, Magnoliopsida, Poales, Poaceae. The transcript is spliced from 3 exons. The record is from RefSeq and is a predicted model, not a curated record.
CUUUCCCCUUUCCCCUCCCUCGACACUCCCACUGAUGGGCUGUGACGAGAGUGCGUGAGUGCGAGCGAGGCAGCGAGCGGCCCCCCUCCCUCCCUCCCGUGCUCUCUGCCUACCAACCCUGAAAAGCAAGCACUCACGGGCGGGGCCUGGCCGCCGCCGCCACCACCACCCCACCUCGGCGGCCCGGGCCGAGCGCCACCCCGCCCCAAAUGCAUCCCGCCUUCCGCCGCUGCCUUCUCCUCUCCCUCGGCCUCAUCUCGGCCUCCCUCCUCGCGCCUCGGGCGGGCGCUGGAGAUGCCGCGGCAAUGCAGGCGCUGCGCCGGGGGCUGGCGCCGCCGGACUGGGCCGCCGCGCCGGCGGACCACUGCGCCUGGCGCGGCGUCACGUGCGGCGGCGCCCGCGAGGUCACCGCGGUCGAGCUGCCCCGCCGGGGCCUCCGCGGCGACUUCUCGGCCGCCGCCGGGCUCCGCGCGCUGGCGCGGCUCGAUCUCUCCUUCAACGCGCUCUCCGGGGCCGUCCCCGCGGCGCUCGGCGCGCUCGCCCGCCUCGAGCUCCUCGACCUCUCCAUGAACAGGCUCUCCGGCCCCAUCCCGCCCGCCCUCGGCCUCGCCGCCGGCCUCAAGUUCCUGAACCUCUCCAACAACGCCCUCUCCGGCUCCAUCCCCGACGAGCUCAGGGGCCUCAAGGAGCUCCAGGAAGUGCAGAUUUCGGCCAACAACCUCACCGGCGCCAUCCCCGGCUGGCUCGCCGGCCUCCCCGGCCUCCGCGUGCUCUCCGCUUACGAGAACGCGCUCUCGGGGCCGAUCCCGCCCGGGCUCGGGCUCUCGUCCAAUCUCCAGGUGCUCAACCUCCACUCCAACGGCCUCGAGGGGAGCAUACCGAGCAGCCUCUUCGACCUUGGCAAUCUGCAGGUUCUGAUCCUCACCGUGAAUAGGCUCAACGGCACCAUCCCGGAUUCAAUCGGCCGGUGCCUCGGCCUAUCCAACGUGCGCAUCGGCAACAAUCGCCUCGCGGGCGCCAUCCCGGCAUCCAUUGGCGACGCCACCAGCCUGACCUACUUUGAGGCCGACAGCAACCAGCUGUCCGGCAGCAUCCCCGCUCAGUUUGCACGCUGCGCCAACCUGACGCUGCUGAAUUUGGCCUACAACCGCCUUGUCGGCGAGGUGCCGGACAUGCUUGGGGAGCUGAGAAACCUGCAAGAGCUCAUCAUCUCCGGCAAUGGCCUCGGUGGCGAGUACCCGAGGUCCAUUCUGCGGUGCCGGAACUUGAGCAAGCUGGACUUGAGCUACAACGCUUUCCGCGGCGGCUUGCCAGACACCAUCUGCAACGGAUCCAGGCUGCAGUUUCUUGUGCUCGAUCAUAACGAGUUCUCGGGCAGCAUCCCGCACGGUAUCGGUGGCUGCAGCCGGCUUCUCGAGCUGCAGCUUGCCAACAACAACCUGAGUGGUGAGAUACCAGCCGAAAUGGGCAAGAUCAAGAGCUUACAGAUUGCGCUGAACCUCAGCUUCAAUCACCUUUCAGGGCCGCUGCCCCGUGAGCUUGGGCGGCUCGAUAAGCUCGUGGCGCUGGAUUUAUCUAGCAAUGAGAUAUCUGGUGAGAUCCCUGCUGACAUGAGAGGGAUGCUGAGCUUGAUAGUAGUCAACCUGUCAAACAACCGGCUCCGUGGUGCCAUACCGGUGUUCGGGCCGUUUCAGAAGAGUGCAGGGUCCAGUUUCUCCGGCAAUGCCAAGCUGUGCGGCGACCCGCUGGAUGUGGACUGUGGACCGAUUUAUGGCUCCAAUUAUGGAUCGGACCACAGGAAGAUAUCUUACAGGGUGGCCCUGGCAGUUGCUGGGUCCUGCGUGCUCAUCUUCUCAGUGGUAUCAUUGGUGGUCACGUUGUUCAUGUGGCGUGAGAGGCAGGAGAAGGAGGCCGACGCAAAGAAGGCCGAGGCAGGGGAGGCGGUCGUCGUCGAAGCGAGGCAUGUCAUGGCUUCAAGUGUGUUCAUUGAGAGCUUGCAGCAGGCCAUUGAUUUCCAGACCUGUGUCCAGGCGACGUUCAAGGACGCCAGUGCACUGAGGAGCGGCACGUUCAGCACGACCUACAAGGCUGUCAUGCCAUCAGGCAUGGUGGUGUGUGUGAAGAAGCUGAAGUCGGUCGACCGCGCGGUCGUCCACCACCAGGCCAAGAUGAUCCGGGAGCUCGAGCGACUCGCGCACAUAAACCAUCCCAACCUUGUGCGUCCCAUUGGGUAUGUCAUCUACGAGGAUGUUGCGUUGCUGCUGCAGUAUGACAUGCCGAAUGGAACAUUGCUUCAGCUGCUGCACGGUUCAAACAACUGUGAUGGUGACCAAGAGAAGCCUGACUGGCCAAAGCUGUUGUCAAUCGCGAUUGGCGUCGCCGAAGGGCUGGCCUUCCUCCACCAGAUUGCCACCAUCCACCUCGAUAUUUCUUCGGGUAAUGUCUUCCUUGACUCGCACUACAACGCGCUUCUUGGCGAAGUUGAGAUCUCCAAGCUGCUGGACCCUUCAAAGGGCACUGCCAGCAUCAGCGCGGUAGCUGGCACAUUUGGUUAUAUACCUCCAGAGUAUGCCUACUCAAUGCAGGUUACUGUACCAGGAAAUGUGUACAGCUUCGGGGUACUGCUGUUGGAGAUCCUGACGUCCAAGAUGCCGGUGGACGAGGAGUUUGGCGAGGGUGUGGACCUUGUCAAGUGGGUGCACUCUGCGCCGGAGAGGGGGGAGACGCCGGAGCAGAUCAUGGACCCGAGGCUGAGCACCGUGUCGUUUGCGUGGCGGAGGCAGAUGCUCGCCGUGCUCAAGGUCGCGAUGCUAUGCACGGAGCGCGCCCCGGCGAAGCGGCCCAAGAUGAAGAAGGCUGUAGAGAUGCUGCAGGAGGCCAAGAACAGCUGACCGCUCACUGCAUCCUCUUGCUGAAUGCUAAGAUUGCUCCUACGGAGACGAAAUGACAAGCAUAAAGAACAUUGCACGCCGCGAAUCUGCAGUAAUUAUUCGGCCGGCUGCAGAGGAAAAGCAAGCAGCAGCACAGAAGCGGAGGAGGUAACGCCGUUGGCCGUUGCCUGAUUCAUCCUCGCGCCGCCGGGGCUGCAAUAGAGCUCCGCCGUGGCUGCAUUGAAACGCCACCGGAGCUGCAUCGCAUCAUCCUCGCGCUACAUGGCAGCUUCAGUCGUCGUCGUCGUCAUGCUUUUUGUCGCAGCUUUCGCCAUGGCCGCCGCGUGCUGCGUCGCUGCAUCAGCCGUCAUCGCCGGCGCUGCAAUGAGUGCUCCCGGGGCUGCAAUGGAGGGACGUCGGCGCUCCGCCGCGACUGCAAUGGAGCACCGUCGGGGUGUUGGAGCUUUGUCCCAGUUGCAAUGGAGCUUCGCCGCGGCUGCAAUGGAGCACUGUCGGGGACGUUGGAGCUUCGCCGCGGUUGCAAUGGAGCUUCGCCGCGGCUGCAAUGGAGUACCAUCGGGGACGUCGGAGCUUCGCCGCGGCUGCAAUGAAGCGUCACUGGGAUGCAAUGGAGCAACCGGCGUCGACGGUGCUUCCAUGGAGUUGCAGUGGAGCUUCGCCGAGGUUUCGUCGGUGCUGCGUUGAAGCUUUAUUUGCAGUCCUUAGUGCUACCAUGGUGCAGGCCCCCGGUGAGUCUCGGCGCUGCGAUAUAGCGCGUCGCCGGCAGCUCUUUUUGGAGCGAUGAUGCAGCAUCUCCAGCUGCUCCAGGGCUGCGAGGUCGCCGGCGUAGGUGCCAUCCGUUGGUUUUUGUUGCACCAUGGCUGUGUUCAGAGGAGGCAUGGUGUGGAUUGACGAUGGGCUGAUGCACCUUCACUGCAGAGCGGGACGCGGUGUGGAUCGAAGGACUGCUGGGAUCGAACAUCACUAGGGCCAAUCGGACGGUUGACUAGGCGGAUGAAAUUAUUCGGUUGAUUCGUAGCAACCGUCAAUUCGUUUAGAGCUUUUUGGUUUGUAGGAAUGAAAUCCUAUUUUUAUGGAAGAAUUCUUUCUGUCCUUCACAUUUCAUAGGAAAAUACAUUAGCCUAGACUCAAUGAAAAAAAUCUUAUGAUGUGAAUCAAAGGGCAUCUCCUUUCCUAUUCUUAUUCAUAAGAUUUGAGAUACAUGUCAUCUCAUUUCCUAUGACUUUUCUAUUUCUAUAAUUUUCCUACCCUAUAAACUAAAGGAGGGCUCAAACUUGAUUCCAACAUUAAUUUCUAGUACGAGUUCAAUUAUAAUAUGCAGUACGGUUUCAACGA